RNAcentral lists this transfer RNA (88 nucleotides) under Mus musculus (house mouse). It matches the Rfam family "tRNA". Rfam says of the family: Transfer RNA (tRNA) molecules are approximately 80 nucleotides in length. Their secondary structure includes four short double-helical elements and three loops (D, anti-codon, and T loops). Further hydrogen bonds mediate the characteristic L-shaped molecular structure. tRNAs have two regions of fundamental functional importance: the anti-codon, which is responsible for specific mRNA codon recognition, and the 3' end, to which the tRNAs corresponding amino acid is attached (by aminoacyl-tRNA synthetases). tRNAs cope with the degeneracy of the genetic code in two manners: having more than one tRNA (with a specific anti-codon) for a particular amino acid; and 'wobble' base-pairing, i.e. permitting non-standard base-pairing at the 3rd anti-codon position. RNAcentral also lists the same sequence under 1 other name. Lineage: Eukaryota; Metazoa; Chordata; Mammalia; Rodentia; Muridae. The record is from Rfam by way of RNAcentral.
CCUUCGAUAGCUCAGUUGGUAGAGCGGAGGACUGUAGGUCAUUGUUCUAGAAAUCCUUAGGUCGCUGGUUCGAAUCCGGCUCGAAGGA